RNAcentral lists this ribosomal RNA (501 nucleotides) under uncultured bacterium. Its description in RNAcentral is "partial 16S ribosomal RNA". It matches the Rfam family "Bacterial small subunit ribosomal RNA", at positions 899 to 1397 of the family's 1533-position model. The record is from RNAcentral.
ACUCAAAGGAAUUGACGGGGGCCCGCACAAGCGGUGGAGCAUGUGGUUCAAUUCGACGCAACGCGCAGAACCUUACCAGCCCUUGACAUGGGACUCGCCGGUACGAGAGAUCGUACCUUCGGUUCGGCCGGAGUCCGCACAGGUGCUGCAUGGCUGUCGUCAGCUCGUGUCGUGAGAUGUUGGGUUAAGUCCCGCAACGAGCGCAACCCUCGUCUCCAGUUGCCAUCAGGUUAUGCUGGGCACUUUGGAGAAACUGCCGGUGACAAGCCGGAGGAAGGUGGGGAUGACGUCAAGUCCUCAUGGCCCUUACGGGCUGGGCUACACACGUGCUACAAUGGCGGUGACAAUGGGAUGCGAAGGGGCGACCCGGAGCCGAUCCUAAAAAACCGUCUCAGUUCGGAUUGCACUCUGCAACUCGAGUGCAUGAAGGUGGAAUCGCUAGUAAUCGAGGAUCAGCAUGCCUCGGUGAAUACGUUCCCGGGCCUUGUACACACCGCCCGU